RNAcentral lists this ribosomal RNA (211 nucleotides) under uncultured bacterium. Its description in RNAcentral is "partial 16S ribosomal RNA". It matches the Rfam family "Bacterial small subunit ribosomal RNA", at positions 1290 to 1500 of the family's 1533-position model. The record is from RNAcentral.
AGUUUGUAAAGGGACUGAAAUUACGCCUUCCAUGAAGCUGGAAUUGCUAGUAAUGGCAGGUCAGCAUACUGCCGUGAAUACGUUCCCGGGCCUUGUACACACCGCCCGUCACACCAUGAGAGUUGGAAAUACCCGAAGCCUGUGAGCUAACUUAAAGAGGCAGCAGUCGAAGGUAGAGCCAAUGAUUGGGGCGAAGUCGUAACAAGGUAAC